RNAcentral lists this ribosomal RNA (301 nucleotides) under uncultured bacterium. RNAcentral's name for it is "partial 16S ribosomal RNA". It matches the Rfam family "Bacterial small subunit ribosomal RNA", at positions 509 to 807 of the family's 1533-position model. The record is from RNAcentral.
CAGCCGCCGCGGGAAAACGUAGGGCGCAAGCGUUAUCCGGAAUUAUUGGGCGUAAAGAGCUCGUAGGCGGUUUGUCGCGUCUGCCGUGAAAGUCCGGGGCUCAACCCCGGAUCUGCGGUGGGUACGGGCAGACUAGAGUGAUGUAGGGGAGACUGGAAUUCCUGGUGUAGCGGUGAAAUGCGCAGAUAUCAGGAGGAACACCGAUGGCGAAGGCAGGUCUCUGGGCAUUAACUGACGCUGAGGAGCGAAAGCAUGGGGAGCGAACAGGAUUAGAUACCCCAGUAGUCCCUGUCUCUUAUAC